GUACAGACCUUCUAAAAUUCAAACUGACCACACGCACGAUACACGCACGGUGAAUGCACGAUACACGCACGGUACACGCACGAUACACGAUACACGCACGAUGAGCGAUGAGCGUUACACGAAGGAUUAACGCAAAAUGAAUGAUGAAUGAUGAACGCACGAUACACGCACGAUGCACGAUGAAUGAUAAAUACACGAUACACGCACGUCACAUGC
RNAcentral lists this long non-coding RNA (216 nucleotides) under Mytilus galloprovincialis (Mediterranean mussel). The record is from RNAcentral. Lineage: Eukaryota; Metazoa; Mollusca; Bivalvia; Mytilida; Mytilidae.